CGGUCCCAAGGGUUGGGCUGUUCGCCCAUUAAAGCGGUACGCGAGCUGGGUUCAGAACGUCGUGAGACAGUUCGGUCCCUAUCCGUCGUGGGCGUAGGAAAUUUGAGAGGAGCUGUCCUUAGUACGAGAGGACCGGGAUGGACAUACCUCUGGUGUACCAGUUGUCGUGCCAACGGCAUAGCUGGGUAGCUAUGUGUGGACGGGAUAAGUGCUGAAAGCAUCUAAGCAUGAAGCCCCCCUCAAGAUGAGAUUUCCCAACUUCGAUUAUAAGAUCCCUCAAAGAUGAUGAGGUUAAUAGGUUCGAGGUGGAAGCAUGGUGACAUGUGGAGCUGACGAAUACUAAUCGAUCGAAGACUUAAUCAA
RNAcentral lists this ribosomal RNA (363 nucleotides) under Staphylococcus aureus. Its description in RNAcentral is "partial 23S ribosomal RNA". It matches the Rfam family "Bacterial large subunit ribosomal RNA", at positions 2560 to 2925 of the family's 2925-position model. The record is from RNAcentral. Lineage: Bacteria; Bacillati; Bacillota; Bacilli; Caryophanales; Staphylococcaceae.